This 557-nucleotide ribosomal RNA is filed under the name uncultured bacterium. Its description in RNAcentral is "bacterial SSU rRNA". It matches the Rfam family "Bacterial small subunit ribosomal RNA", at positions 777 to 1343 of the family's 1533-position model. The record is from RNAcentral.
AAUAGAUACCCUGGUAGUCCACGCCGUAAACGAUGGAUGCUAGCUAUUAGGGGGGAAUCGACCCCCUCCGAAGCGAAGCUAACGCGUUAAGCAUCCCGCCUGAGUAGUACGAGCGCAAGCUUAAAACUCAAAGGAAUUGACGGGGACCCGCACAAGCGGUGGAGCGUGUGGUUUAAUUCGAUGGUAAACGAAGAACCUUACCAAGGUUUGACAUCCCGGUAGCCGUUCUCCGAAAGGAGAAUUUCAUUUAGUUGGACCGGUGACAGGUGAUGCAUGGCCGUCGUCAGCUCGUGUCGUGAGAUGUUGGGUUAAGUCCCGCAACGAGCGCAACCCUUAUGAUUUAGUUGGAUUUUUCUAAACAGACUGCCCUGGUAACAGGGAGGAAGGAGGGGAUGAUGUCAGGUCAGUAUUUCCCUUACACCUUGGGCGACACACGCGCUACAAUGGCCGGCACAAUGGGCAGCUAAGCCGCGAGGUGGAGCAAAUCCCAUCAAAGCCGGUCCCAGUUCGGAUUGCAGGCUGAAACCCGCUGCAUGAAGCCGGAAUCGCUAGUAACC